This 468-nucleotide ribosomal RNA is filed under the name uncultured bacterium. RNAcentral's name for it is "partial 16S ribosomal RNA". It matches the Rfam family "Bacterial small subunit ribosomal RNA", at positions 28 to 507 of the family's 1533-position model. The record is from RNAcentral.
GACGAACGCUGGCGGCGUGCUUAACACAUGCAAGUCGAACGGAAAGGCCCUGCUUUUGUGGGGUGCUCGAGUGGCGAACGGGUGAGUAACACGUGAGUAACCUGCCCUUGACUUUGGGAUAACUUCAGGAAACUGGGGCUAAUACCGGAUAGGAGCUCCUGCUGCAUGGUGGGGGUUGGAAAGUUUCGGCGGUUGGGGAUGGACUCGCGGCUUAUCAGCUUGUUGGUGGGGUAGUGGCUUACCAAGGUUUUGACGGGUAGCCGGCCUGAGAGGGUGACCGGCCACAUUGGGACUGAGAUACGGCCCAGACUCCUACGGGAGGCAGCAGUGGGGAAUAUUGCGCAAUGGGCGGAAGCCUGAUGCAGCAACGCCGCGUGCGGAAUGACGGCCUUCGGGUUGGAAACCGCUUUCGCCUGUGACGAAGCGUGAGUGACGGUAAUGGGUAAAGAAGCACCGGCUAACUACGUG